Molecule: transfer RNA, 21 nt
Filed under: Drosophila formosana
Lineage: Eukaryota; Metazoa; Arthropoda; Insecta; Diptera; Drosophilidae
Description: partial tRNA-His
Source: RNAcentral
UUUUUUUUAAACUAUUUAAAU